UACGUAGGGGGCGAGCGUUGUCCGGAUUUAUUGGGCGUAAAGGGCGCGUAGGCGGCUUGGCAAGUGGAAGGUGAAAUCCCUCGGCUUAACCGAGGAACUGCCCUCCAAACUGCUUCGCUUGAGACCGGGAGAGGUGAGUGGAAUUCCCAGUGUAGCGGUGAAAUGCGUAGAUAUUGGGAGGAACACCAGUGGCGAAGGCGGCUCACUGGACCGGUACUGACGCUGAUGCGCGAAAGCGUGGGGAGCAAACGGG
Molecule: ribosomal RNA, 253 nt
Filed under: uncultured bacterium
Lineage: Bacteria
Description: partial 16S ribosomal RNA
Rfam family: Bacterial small subunit ribosomal RNA
Source: RNAcentral